GAGGAAGAGUGGCUCUUUAUGUAAAAGAGCCAUAUGAUUGCUUAGAGCUCCAGUAAGGAACUGGAGAUAGGCUUGUUGAAAGGCUAUGGGGUAGGGUCACAGGG
Long non-coding RNA from Gavialis gangeticus (Gharial), 104 nucleotides. RefSeq lists it as uncharacterized. NCBI's taxonomy places the organism in Eukaryota, Metazoa, Chordata, Crocodylia, Gavialidae. The record is from RefSeq and is a predicted model, not a curated record. The transcript has 3 exons.